GCCUUACCCGGUUUAAGGUAAAAUUACCGAUGCAAGUCGGCGGGAACGAGUUUUCUGAUCUUUCUUGGGAGGAUACGGCGUCGAGCGGCGGAGGGGGGAGUAAUGCCUAGGAAAUUACCCUGAUGUGGGGGAUAACCAUUGGAAACAAUAGCUAAAACCGCACGAUGCCUCCGGGGCAAAAAGGGGGGCCUUCGGGCCUCUCUCGUCAGGAUAUGCCUAGGUGGGAUUAGCUAGUUGGUGAGGUAAGGGCUCACCAAGGGGACGAUCCCUAGCUGGUCUGAGAGGGUGAUCAUCCACACUGGAACUGAGACACGGUCCCGACUCCUACGGGGGGCGGCAGUGGGGGAAAUUGCACAAUGGGGGCAAGCCUGAUGCAGCCCUGCCGCGGGGGUGAAAAAAGGCUUCUGGUUGUUAAACACUUUUUUUCGUGGGGAAGGGGGUGGGGUUAAUAACUGCAUUUUUUUACGUUUUCGCCAAAAAAAGAACCCGCCAACUCCCUGCCCCCAGCCGCGGUAAUACGGAGGGGGGGAGGGUUUAUCGAAAAUUUUGGGGGUAAAGAGCAGGCGGGUGGUUUGUUUAAUCAAAUAUGAAAACCCGGGGGUCAACCUCGCAAUUUUUUUUUUUAAAAUGGCGGACAAAAAAACUGUUGAGAGGGGGGAGAAUAUUUUGUGGUAGCGGUGAAAAUGCGUAGAGAUCUUAAGGAAUACCCGUGGGGAAGGGGGCCCCCCGGGAGAGAUACUGACACUCUUAUUGCGAAAACCGGGGGGGGGGAAACAGGAAUAAAAUACUCCCGGGGGGUCCACCCCCCUAAAAAAAUGUUUUACUUUGGAGGUUGGUGGGCCCUUUACCCCUGGGGUUUUUUUAGCUAACACCGUUUAUUUAUAACCCCCCCCGCGGGGAGACGGGCCCCCCGAUUAAAAACUCCCAUAGAAUUGAUCGGGGGGGCCCCCCCAAACAGGUGGGAGGAAGGGGGUUAAAUCUAUGGUACCCCGGCGAAAAC
RNAcentral lists this ribosomal RNA (1000 nucleotides) under Vibrio alginolyticus. RNAcentral describes it as "partial 16S ribosomal RNA". It matches the Rfam family "Bacterial small subunit ribosomal RNA", at positions 28 to 970 of the family's 1533-position model. The record is from RNAcentral. Lineage: Bacteria; Pseudomonadati; Pseudomonadota; Gammaproteobacteria; Vibrionales; Vibrionaceae.